UGACGAGUUUGAUCCUGGCUCAGGAUGAACGCUAGCGGCAGGCUUAACACAUGCAAGUCGAGGGGUAGAAGCAGCUUGCUGCUUUGAGACCGGCGCACGGGUGCGUAACGCGUAUACAAUCUACCUUUUACAGAGGGAUAGCCCAGAGAAAUUUGGAUUAAUACCUCAUAGUAUUUUCGAAUCGCAUGGUUUGAUUAUUAAAGUUCCAACGGUAAAAGAUGAGCAUGCGUCCCAUUAGUUAGUUGGUAAGGUAACGGCUUACCAAGACAAUGAUGGGUAGGGGUCCUGAGAGGGAGAUCCCCCGACACUGGUACUGAGACACGGACCAGACUCCGUACGGGAGGCAGCAGUGAGGAAUAUUGGUCAAUGGGCGCAAGCCUGAACCAGCCCAUGCCGCGUGCAGGAUGACGGUCCUAU
Molecule: ribosomal RNA, 417 nt
Filed under: uncultured Flavobacteriaceae bacterium
Lineage: Bacteria; Pseudomonadati; Bacteroidota; Flavobacteriia; Flavobacteriales; Flavobacteriaceae
Description: bacterial SSU rRNA
Rfam family: Bacterial small subunit ribosomal RNA
Source: RNAcentral